RNAcentral lists this long non-coding RNA (1356 nucleotides) under Astyanax mexicanus (Mexican tetra). RNAcentral's name for it is "lncRNA (ENSAMXG00005023777.1)". Lineage: Eukaryota; Metazoa; Chordata; Actinopteri; Characiformes; Acestrorhamphidae. The record is from RNAcentral.
AUGUGCUUCUUUAAGUUUUGCAGGAGACAGAAAACAGGCACGUUUUGUUGGGGGGGAACCACCCGUUCUAGCAGACAGAUGCAACACCUUUCAGAGAACCCAGACACUACACACUCCACUGACUUCCUUGUCCAGCCUGUACCAGCAACACAUCAUAGAAGGCAUCACCACCCACAGUGGACAGGGCAGUUUGUGGUAAUAAUCGUGACCGGCGGCUUCUGUCUAGACUUGUCCAUGCAAACAGACAAGUUCCAGACAAGUGACUCCCCACCCUUAUCUCCCACAGUGAAGUUCGGUCAUUAUCUUCACCCUGGCACCAAAAUGAAAGCCUUGGCUGGUGAUGUUGUGCAGAGAGCAGCUGCUUAAAAUGGCGUCUCGGUGCUUCUGGUGUAGAGGAGGACCAGAGGGAGGACAUUAGGAAGUGAUGGACUGGACCUGCUUAAUGGACACUCCCUCUCUUAUUCUCUCUCUCUCUCUCGCUCUCUCUCUCUCUCUCUCUUCCUCUCCUUCUCCUUCCUCCCCGCCGCAGGCCUCAUACACACUCACAAAUCUCUUUUUAUUAGUGCCAUCAUUACUGUAAUGCUGUUGCUAAUAUUACCCUUGGUAAUGCUAACAACACUAUCGUAAAUGGAGUUAGCGUUCAUGAUUAGAAGUAUUCCGUUAAGGCUCCUGGGGCCACGCUCUUUUUCCCUGAGCUGGACCACGCUUCUCCACCACAGAGCCGAAGUGAAGGUCCUUACUGUGUUAUAGACGCGUUUCUCCAAAUCUAAAGUAGAAAUCUUUGCUGUUUUCUGUUUUAACCUGAGCCGCUCUCUUUCUAUGCUCUGUUAAUUCUCUCUCUCUCUCUCUUUCUUUCUACCUCGCCAAGUUUUUCUUACAGAAUGUCCCAGGAGGCUGCCAGAGCCUCCGCCGGCCAGUUCCAGCCAGCUUGAGAUUGGGGAACUGGCCAAAAGCCACCUGUUCAACAACAAAAAGGAGGCUAGAUAAGUUUUAGUGUAUGGUCCCUCUAGAGUCUGACCACAUUUUAUCUCAGCACAAUAGUUUAGACUCUGAAAAGUCUAUAAACCAUUAAGGGCAUAUUUCAUAUGUUUCUAUUGUGUUUUAUUUAUUUAUAUGUUUUCUUUGGCUCAUAAAUUCAACAAAUAUAUAUAUAGUCAACUAUAAUAUAUAUAGUGUAUGUAAAUCAUCUUUUGUUCUGAUUGGCUAUUGGUUAUGUUCUGAGCCUGAGCUAAAAGCCUGAAAAAAUAACCACUUCAAUUUCUGAAUCAGUUUUUCUGAUAACAUUGCUGUUUUAUUCUAUAAACUACAUACAACAUUUCUUCCAAAUUCCAAAUAAAAAUAUUGUUAUUUAGAGCA